CCCCUCAUCAUUACCCCUCGCUGCUGUCAUC
Molecule: non-coding RNA, 31 nt
Filed under: Homo sapiens (human)
Lineage: Eukaryota; Metazoa; Chordata; Mammalia; Primates; Hominidae
Source: RNAcentral